UAGAAGAAGAGGAAGUGGGUUGAGGCUUAGAGUAGACAGGGGAGUGGGCGUCUGAACGGCGCCGGUGUGGAGUGGAGGUAGGCAGCGCCCUCGCCGGAGAAACAGGCGCGGUGGCGGCGCCAGAUCUGGGGUAAAGGGGAGGAGGCGGCGGAGCAGCUCUGUUGUCCGCCGAGGUGACGGCGACAGCAGUCGUUGCUGCCGGCCGAAGAAAGAAGAGAAGGGGGACAACGCCGGGCUGGAGGAGACGGCGUUCGGUGUAACGGCGGCGGCUGGCUGCUCGCUGGAACAGGGGCGGCGCCGGCGCUCUUCACCGGUGGCCGACUGGUCGAGAGGGUGAGAGGGGUCAGGGAGAGAGAUGGAGGCUGGGAGAGAGAAGGAAGGCGCUGGGCGACGCCGUCUUCAGGCGGCGGCGGCAGCGGGAAGGCUGAGAGAGGGAGAGAGGGUGCGCUGGUUUGUGCGUGUAUGAGUGUGUUUC
RNAcentral lists this long non-coding RNA (475 nucleotides) under Salvia miltiorrhiza (redroot sage). RNAcentral describes it as "long non-coding RNA (SMIL_LNC010061)". Lineage: Eukaryota; Viridiplantae; Streptophyta; Magnoliopsida; Lamiales; Lamiaceae. The record is from RNAcentral.